CAAUAGCGUAUAUUAAAGUUGUUGCGGUAAAAAAGCUCGUAGUUGGAUUUCUGUUGAGAGCGACCGGUCCAUACCAUGUAUGCGUAUCUGGCUUGCUCUCGGCAUCCUCUCGAUAGACGUUACUGCGCUUGAUUGCGUGGUGCGGAUCUCGGGACUUUUACUUUGAGGAAAUUAGAGUGUUCACGGCAGGCUUUCGCCAGAAUACAUUAGCAUGGAAUAAUACUAUAGGAUCUUGGUUCUAUUUUGUUGGUUUCUAGAAUUGAGAUAAUGAUUAAUAGGGACAAUUGGGGGCAUUCGUAUCAACACGUCAGAGGUGGAAUUCUUGGAUUGUGUUGCGACGAACUACUGCGAAAGCAUUUGCCAAGGAUGUUUUCAUCGA
RNAcentral lists this ribosomal RNA (379 nucleotides) under uncultured eukaryote. RNAcentral describes it as "partial 18S ribosomal RNA". It matches the Rfam family "Eukaryotic small subunit ribosomal RNA", at positions 592 to 976 of the family's 1831-position model. The record is from RNAcentral.